This 523-nucleotide ribosomal RNA is filed under the name uncultured bacterium. Its description in RNAcentral is "bacterial SSU rRNA". It matches the Rfam family "Bacterial small subunit ribosomal RNA", at positions 356 to 896 of the family's 1533-position model. The record is from RNAcentral.
GGGGAAUAUUGGACAAUGGACCAAAAGUCUGAUCCAGCAAUUCUGUGUGCACGAUGAAGUUUUUCGGAAUGUAAAGUGCUUUCAGUUGGGAAGAAGAAAGUGACGGUACCAACAGAAGAAGUGACGGCUAAAUACGUGCCAGCAGCCGCGGUAAUACGUAUGUCACAAGCGUUAUCCGGAUUUAUUGGGCGUAAAGCGCGUCUAGGCGGUUAAUUAAGUCUGAUGUGAAAAUGCGGAGCUCAACUCCGUAUUGCGUUGGAAACUGGUUAACUAGAGUACUGGAGAGGUAAGCGGAACUACAAGUGUAGGGGUGAAAUUCGUAGAUAUUUGUAGGAAUGCCGAUGGGGAAGCCAGCUUACUGGACAGAUACUGACGCUAAAGCGCGAAAGCGUGGGUAGCAAACAGGAUUAGAUACCCUGGUAGUCCACGCUGUAAACGAUGAUUACUAGGUGUUGGGGGUCGAACCUCAGCGCCCAAGCUAACGCGAUAAGUAAUCCGCCUGGGGAGUACGUACGCAAGUAUG